CGAGCGGCGCGGGCGGGCGGGGUUUGAUUGUGAGCUGCCGCUCCGGCUGCCGGGGAGGCUCCCCCGGCGCUGCCCGUGCCCUGCUCGCCCUGCGGGCGGGGCGGGAGCGGCGCGAUGUCCAUCGCCGCCACCCGCGGGGCGGGAAGGGGUUGAUCGCCAGCCGGCUUCAGUGUGUCCCAUUACUCCAUGUCCUGUCACUAGAUCCCGCCGCAGGUUGGCCCAGCCCGGGCCCGCGGGACGCUCGGCUCCGGCGGCCGGGGCUGAAGCCCCGCGGGGUGCGCGGCUCUCCCUCCUUCUGCGCACUUCCCUGGGUGCUGCUCUGCCACAGGUCAUCUGAUUUUCCUGCGCUGGUGUCUGCUGGUGUACGACUCCAAAUGAACGUGGGUGUAUUUUAAGUCAGAGCAUUUCUGGAUUCUACGUUUUCCUUUCCUGGACUGGAAUAAUCCCUGUCCUUUGCACCAGAUGAUUUUGCCAUAUCUGUGUAGGUGAAAAUAAACAGGCAGCACUCAGUAGAGUGACAGUGUGCAGUCAAUAAAUUAAACAACUUGCAGAAACA
Molecule: long non-coding RNA, 556 nt
Organism: Vidua chalybeata
Lineage: Eukaryota; Metazoa; Chordata; Aves; Passeriformes; Viduidae
Exons: 2
Source: RefSeq, a predicted model, not a curated record